AGCGAACGCUGGCGGCAGGCCUAACACAUGCAAGUCGAACGGAACCUCCGGGAUUAGUGGCGGACGGGUGUGUCACACGUGGGAACGUGCCCGUUGGUUCGGAACACCUCAGGUAAACUUGAGCUAAUACCGGAUGUGCCCUUCGGGGGAAGGAUUUAUCGCCCUUGGAACGGCCCGCGUCGGUUUAGCGAGUUGGUGAGGUAAGGGCCGACCAAGGGGACGAUCAGUAGCUGGUUUGAGAGGAUGAGCAGCCACACUGGGACGGAGACACGGCCGAGACUCGUAGGGGAGGGAGCGGUGGGGAAUCCUGCGCAAUGGGCGUAAGUCUGACGCAGCCAUGCGGCGUGAAUGAUGAAGGUCUGAGGAUAGUAAAAGUCUUUCAGCGGGGACGAGAAUGACGGUACCCGCAGAAGAAGCUCCGGCUAACUUCGUG
Molecule: ribosomal RNA, 433 nt
Filed under: uncultured bacterium
Lineage: Bacteria
Description: partial 16S ribosomal RNA
Rfam family: Bacterial small subunit ribosomal RNA
Source: RNAcentral